GGAUUUGAUCGAAAGUAAUGAGGUUGCAGGAUUUUGAUCCAUAAUCGUCACUAUCCCAACUGAAAAAGAUCGAUCCGAAAGCGAGUCUCACAAAAACUUCUGAAGCUAUUUUUCCACUUCCAUCCCCACCUACUCCGUUUCUGCUCCACCAAUUUCCUCUCCUCAGAUCCUCAUCUCUCUUUUCUUUGAUUCUCUUCCCCGGAGAUCAAAGAACGAAAGUUGGAGUGAGCAAUUUUCUUCCUGCAAUUAAAC
This 252-nucleotide unclassified non-coding RNA is filed under the name Hevea brasiliensis (rubber tree). Lineage: Eukaryota; Viridiplantae; Streptophyta; Magnoliopsida; Malpighiales; Euphorbiaceae. The record is from RNAcentral.